UGUGAAGGAAAGGUGAAAAGGACCCCGGGAGGGGAGUGAAAGAGAACCUGAAACCCUGUGUCUACAAGCUGUGGAAGCACUUUAUAUGUGCGACCGCGUACUUUUUGUAGAACGGUCCGGCGAGUUACGCUUACUGGCAAGGUUAAGCACUUCAGGUGUGGAGCCGUAGGGAAACCAAGUCUUAAGAGGGCCUUAAGUCAGUAGGAGUAGACCCGAAACCGGGUGAUCUAUCCAUGUCCAGGUUGAAGCUGCCGUAAGAGGUAGUGGAGGACCGAACCCACAUCCGUUGAAAAGGGUGGGGAUGAGGUGUGGAUAGGGGAGAAAUUCCAAUCGAACCCGGAGAUAGCUGGUUCUCCUCGAAAUAGCUUUAGGGCUAGCCUCGAUACAGAUUUGCGGAGGUAGAGCACUGAAUUUCCUAGGGGGCGUCAAAGCCUACCGAAGAAUAUCAAACUCCGAAUGCCGCGUAAUCGAUUAUCGGGAGUCAGACUGCACGAGAUAAGUUGGGCGGUCAAAAGGGAAAGAGCCCAGACCUUCAGUUAAGGUCCCCAAGUGCGCGUUAAGUGGAAAAGGAUGUGGGAUUUCGAAGACAACCAGGAUGUUGGCUCAGAAGCAGCCAUCCAUUCAAAGAGUGCGUAAUAGCUCACUGGUCGAGAGGUCCUGCGCCGAAAAUGUCCGGGGCUGAAACGCGCCACCGAAACUAAGGAACCGAAAGGUUGGUAGAGGAGCAUUGCAUGCGGGAAGAAGCAGUACCGUAAGGAGCUGUGGACUGCAUGGAAGAGAGAAUGCCGGAAUGAGUAGCGAGAAUAAGGUGAGAAUCCUUAUGGCCGAAUAUCCAAGGUUUCCAGAGUAAAGCUGAUCUGCUCUGGGUAAGUCGGGGCCUAAGGCGAGGACGAGAGUCGUAGCCGAUGGACAACAGGUGGAGAUUCCUGUACUGCGGUAUGACAGAACUGUGGGGACACGUAAGGAAAGCGGAAGCCGGGAAUGGAAAGCCCGGUGCAAGCGGGGUACCAGUCACUUUGGCAAAUCCGGGUGGCAAUGGGAAGCCGUGAUGCGGAGUGAAAUAAAGUAACGAAGUCCGUGAGCCAUGCGUCAAGAAAAGCCGCUAUUGUUUAUACCGUACCCGUACCGUAAACCGACACAGGUGGAUGAGGAGAGAAUCCUAAGGCCGGCGGAAGAAGCAUUGUCAAGGAACUCGGCAAAAUGGCCCCGUAACUUAGGGAUAAGGGGUGCCUGGGAAACCAGGCCGCAGAGAAUAGGCUCAAGCAACUGUUUAGCAAAAACACAGGUCUAUGCGAAACCGAAAGGUGAGGUAUAUGGGCUGACGCCUGCCCGGUGCUGGAAGGUUAAGAGGAGAGGUUAGCGGUAACGCGAAGCUUUGAAUUUAAGCCCCAGUAAACGGCGGCCGUAACUAUAACGGUCCUAAGGUAGCGAAAUUCCUUGUCGGGUAAGUUCCGACCCGCACGAA
RNAcentral lists this ribosomal RNA (1465 nucleotides) under human gut metagenome. RNAcentral's name for it is "bacterial LSU rRNA". It matches the Rfam family "Bacterial large subunit ribosomal RNA", at positions 502 to 1996 of the family's 2925-position model. The record is from RNAcentral.